This 2685-nucleotide long non-coding RNA is filed under the name Rattus norvegicus (Norway rat). Its description in RNAcentral is "long non-coding RNA NONRATT031003". The stretch from base 483 to 551 matches the Rfam family "tRNA". The record is from RNAcentral. Lineage: Eukaryota; Metazoa; Chordata; Mammalia; Rodentia; Muridae.
UGUGCAGAUGUGUGUGCUUUACAGACCUUUCCUCUUGGGCCAAGGUAUCAUAUGCACUGUAGGAUCUGAAAAUGGACUGUGUAGCCUUUGGAAAGACACAUGCCUUGCUCUGUCUUUCUGACUGAAAUCAGCUACAUAGGCCUCCUUUUACACAUUAAGAAGUACCUCUAACUAAAGACUAUGAUUUGUGCAUGAGUGUGCUAUAACUACCUUGUACAUGAAAAGAUUUCUCAUUCAUUCUGUUUCUAGUUUUAUUUAAAGUGGCCCUACUCUAAUAAUAAUAGUUUGUUGCUAAAAAUCAGUAUAACUUACAAGUGGUCUCAAAUGUUUGUAUAAGUUACAUAUUGUCAUUGAUGUCGUUUUUUACCUAACAGAAAAAUAAGCUGAGUUGUGUUCAUGGAAAGGACUCUGUUAGAAUGAGAAAACAAAAUUGUGAAAUAUUGACUCGUUGUAUAGGUAUAGAAGUGAAAUAGUUAGGGGUUGGAGAUUUAGCUCAGUGGUAGAGCUCUUGCCUAGGAAGCGCAAGGCCCUGGGUUCGGUCCCCAGCUCCGAAAAAAAAAAAAAGAACCAAAAAAAAAAAAAAAGAAGUGAAAUAGUUUGCCAGGCUGCAGUAGACAAAGGCUGAGUUCUGUGAGUUUGUGUUCAGCCUGGGCUACAUAGUGAGACCCUGUAUCCAGGAGAAAAGGGGGAAAAAAGGAAGGAAGAAAAAUGACAUGUUUUCAAGCUUAGGCUGUAACUCAGAGGUAGCAUACUUGUCUAUCAUGUAUCACAUCCCAAUGCCAUAGGGGAAAAUAAGGAAGAUUUCUUGACUUGUGUCAAGAAAUAUGUAUUGUGUCUGUGUGGGUUUUUUUUUUUCUUUUGGUAAAAAUUGUUCCUUGAAAGCUGGUCUUUUGUUUUUUAGAAUACAUGUUCUGUAAAACCUGGGCUAUUUUUUAAUAAGUGUUUUCUUGAAACUUCUCUUUGAGACCUAGUUCUAGCUGGUCUUACCUCCCUUCUGGAGACCUGCCCCACCUCUAGCUCACUUUCACCCUCAUGUCUGAGCUUCACAAGUGCUGGGAUUGCAGGCAUGUGCCACCAUUGACUGUAGUCUGCUUUUGCUCUCACUUUAGCUUUUCUCUGCCCCACAAAUUAGAGAUACAAAGAGUGGUGGCAGGCACCUGCCUUUUCCGUUAGCUACCCUGCUGGCCGAAGUAGAAUCCACGAAGUCCAAGAACGUGAGACAGUCUGGCAUCAUAUUAACACCUCAUCUCAAAAAUAUGUCAGAAAAUAAAACUAUGAAGGGAUUUUACUUGAAUUUUAUCCUUUUUUUUCCCUGAUAGUGGAAAUAGCCAUAUAUGGUAACGUUUCCCAUGAGGAAUAUUUAAAUCAUGGUUAUGAUAUGGUUGACUCUGGCUUUUACCGUAAUUAUGCAGAGUAAUCAGAAAUGGCACUGUCAAAAAAAGUAUAGGGUUGGGCUGGAGAGAUGGCUCAGUGGUUAAGAGCACUGACUGCUCUUCCAGAGGUCCUGAGUUCAAUUCCCAGCAAACACAUGGUGGCUCACAACCAUCUGUAAUGGGAUCUGAUGCCCUCUUCUGGUGUGUCUGAAGACAGCUACAGUGUACUCACAUACAUAAAAUUAAUAGAUUUUUUUAAAAAAAGUAUAGGGUUGGAAUGGAGCUCAGUGAUAGAGCACUUGGCUAUGGUAGAGCACUUGGCUAUGGUAGAGCACUUAAAAGGGUGUGGGUUCAAUCCUAUACUUAGGAAUCCCAUAAAAACCUAGGAAUGUAGCUGGAAAAUGUAAAGACAUAUUAGGAAUAUUACAUUUAAAAUAUAGAGAUGAAUUGUGGUUGAGUUGAUAAAGUGCUUGCUUAGCAUACAUAAAGCCAUGGGUUUGAUCCACAACAUCACGUAAGCCAGGUAUGGUAGCACAUGUGUACAAUCCCAGUACACUCAGGAGACAGAGAUAGGAAGAUAGGUUCAACCUCAUCCUUGAGUAUAUAGUGAGUUUAAGGCCAACCUGAGCUACAGAAGACUCUAUCCCAAAGAGAAAAAUGAAAAAAGAAAAGAUACUGUGACUAUUCCCUGCUAUUGACCAUGUGAUAACCUUCCCAUGUCUUAUAUAAUAGAGGUUUGUGGAAAGAGAUGGACAUAAUUGACCCAGAAAAAAAUGUUUUGGGUGGUUUGUUGUUGUUGCUACAAAUUUGAUAACUAUGAGGAGGAUACAGUUGAUUGUUCCUUGUAAAUUAAGUGAUUCUUAAUUCCUUAUCUGCUAUUGUACUUGUCUCUGCCCAAUGAAUUUAUGCUGUGAUUCUUAGGAAACUUAGUGUGAAGACUUGCAGAAUUGAACUGGGCAGUACUCCUACUGUGUAACUUCUAGCUGCUGGUGUCUCCCAUGCUCAGUGUUUUGUGUCUUUUCUUUUUGUUUAAGAGCACCAUUCUUCAGUGUGGAGAAAGGCAUGCUCUGGCUAAAAUCUGUGGAAAGCAGAUUUUCUCAUUUAAAAUAGUGUUACUUUUGUGGAAAUUUUAAAUUUAGCUUUUAUCUGAAGUGCCUUAAGUAGAUUCUUAAUUUACUUUUCUAGUACUGGUUUAAAUAUAAUUCAUUAUGUAUUUUUAAUACACUGUUCAAAAAUGAUACAUUAUUAUAGCAGAGAUAACCAAAUGUCUGGCUUAUUGCUUCCUGUCAAUAAACUUUUUGCACUCUAAAUU